Molecule: ribosomal RNA, 253 nt
Filed under: uncultured bacterium
Lineage: Bacteria
Description: partial 16S ribosomal RNA
Rfam family: Bacterial small subunit ribosomal RNA
Source: RNAcentral
UACGUAGGGGGCAAGCGUUGUCCGGAUUUAUUGGGCGUAAAGAGCGUGUAGGCGGCCAGACAGGUCAGCUGUGAAAACUCGAGGCUCAACCUCGAGACGUCGGUUGAAACCGUCUGGCUAGAGUCCGGAAGAGGAGAAUGGAAUUCCCGGUGUAGCGGUGAAAUGCGCAGAUAUCGGGAAGAACACCCGUGGCGAAGGCGGUUCUCUGGGACGGUACUGACGCUGAGACGCGAAAGCGUGGGGAGCGAACAGG